GUGAGGAAUAUUGCGCAAUGGAGGCAACUCUGACGCAGCCAUGCCGCGUGCAGGAAGAAGGCGCUACGCGUUGUAAACUGCUUUUAACCGGGAAGAAACCCCAGGACGUGUCCUGGGUUGACGGUACCGGAGGAAUAAGCACCGGCUAACUUCGUGCCAGCAGCCGCGGUAAUACGAAGGGUGCAAGCGUUAUCCGGAUUCAUUGGGUUUAAAGGGUGCGUAGGCGGAGCGUUAAGUCAGUGGUGAAAUCCUGCAGCUUAACUGUAGACUUGCCAUUGAUACUGGCGCUCUUGAGUGCGCUUGAAGUGGGCGGAAUGUGCCGUGUAGCGGUGAAAUGCUUAGAUAUGGCACAGAACACCAAGUGCGAAGGCAGCUCACUAAGGCGAUACUGACGCUGAGGCACGAAAGCGUGGGGAUCGAACAGGAUUAGAUACCCGAGUAGUCC
RNAcentral lists this ribosomal RNA (445 nucleotides) under uncultured bacterium. RNAcentral describes it as "partial 16S ribosomal RNA". It matches the Rfam family "Bacterial small subunit ribosomal RNA", at positions 354 to 796 of the family's 1533-position model. The record is from RNAcentral.